Non-coding RNA from Lepisosteus oculatus (spotted gar), 933 nucleotides. The record is from RefSeq and is a predicted model, not a curated record. Lineage: Eukaryota; Metazoa; Chordata; Actinopteri; Semionotiformes; Lepisosteidae.
CCUUAACCCCAACUGCUCCAGGGGUGCCGUAUAAAUGGCUGACCCUGCUCUCUGACCCCCAGCUUCUCUCUCUGUCAGUCUCUCAUGGAGAGGGAGUUGGGGUAUGUGGAAAGACAAAUUCCUAAUACAAGAAAUUGGAUAUGGCUAAAAGAGUGAUCUUAUCUUACUGGCAGCUACUGUAUUUUGUACGUUAUCUAGGCUCACCGGCGUCUCCAAAGCUGGAUGCUGGGAGUCUGCAAGCCCCACCAGGAAUAAGCGGCUUUCCGGCAGGGAAUGGGCUUCAGACAAAAUUGAACAGAGCUACGUAAGUUUCCCAACACAAUGCGAAUGCCCGCAGAGCCAGGUGGUUCCAUGAUCUGUGGUGCAGGGAGGUGCCAUUUACUGUACGUUUUCACCUACACAAGGAGACGGUGUGCCACAGCACAUGCCGCCUCAAUCCCAGCUUUACCUGUUGAUGGAGGCUAUGUUCCCCGUCCCGAAGAAGGCGGUGAUGAUGAAGAAGACCUGGACGCACUGCUGAGGAAAACGGUGGCGUAACACAAGCCAGCCAAGCAGCCGCGGCUGGAAGGGUGUAGCCGUGCGCUUCGCCGCCGCAAGAGCCUGCACGGAGAACCAGACGGACUUCUCGCCUCAUCUGGACCUUCACGGCACACGUUAAUACGGCACACGUUAAUACGCCACACCGCGUCCCGAGGUUUUGAAAAAAAAAACAACAGACUAAAAACACCCCCUUGCCAUGGAGAGAUGGGGUGACAGAGAGGGAGAGAAACACAGGAAAGGUUUCGGAUGACAGCCCUGACCCCCAACACGCAUCGAUGUAGUUUAAGAGGAAGGAUUCACGAACAGGUUUGCAGAUUACUGCUCUUGUCCAGUGUGUCCAGGGCAAGCAAAGGAAAAGCUUCUGCGAAUCAGCGCAGGCUGCACAUGACAACG